GGCCAGACUCCUACGGGAGGCAGCAGUGGGGAAUAUUGCACAAUGGGGGAAACCCUGAUGCAGCGACGCCGCGUGAGUGAAGAAGUAAUUCGUUAUGUAAAGCUCUAUCAGCAGGGAAGAAAAUGACGGUACCUGAGUAAGAAGCCCCGGCUAACUACGUGCCAGCAGCCGCGGUAAUACGUAGGGGGCAAGCGUUAUCCGGAUUUACUGGGUGUAAAGGGAGCGUAGACGGUUAUGUAAGUCUGGAGUGAAAGCCCGGGGCCCAACCCCGGGACUGCUUUGGAAACUGUGUAACUGGAGUACAGGAGGGGCAGGCGGAAUUCCUGGUGUAGCGGUGAAAUGCGUAGAUAUCAGGAGGAACACCGGUGGCGAAGGCGGCUUACUGGACGAUGACUGACGCUGAGGCUCGAAAGCGUGGGGAGCAAACAGGAUUAGAUACCCGCGUAU
This 447-nucleotide ribosomal RNA is filed under the name uncultured bacterium. RNAcentral describes it as "bacterial SSU rRNA". It matches the Rfam family "Bacterial small subunit ribosomal RNA", at positions 329 to 793 of the family's 1533-position model. The record is from RNAcentral.